RNAcentral lists this transfer RNA (74 nucleotides) under Dolosigranulum pigrum. RNAcentral describes it as "tRNA-Asp(gtc)". It matches the Rfam family "tRNA". Rfam says of the family: Transfer RNA (tRNA) molecules are approximately 80 nucleotides in length. Their secondary structure includes four short double-helical elements and three loops (D, anti-codon, and T loops). RNAcentral also lists the same sequence under 2 other names. The record is from RNAcentral. Lineage: Bacteria; Bacillati; Bacillota; Bacilli; Lactobacillales; Carnobacteriaceae.
GGUCCCGUAGUGGAGCGGUUUAACACGCCUCCCUGUCACGGAGGAGAUCGCCGGUUCAAAUCCGGUCGGGAUCG